Bos taurus (domestic cattle) is the source of this 72-nucleotide non-coding RNA. The record is from Rfam. NCBI's taxonomy places the organism in Eukaryota, Metazoa, Chordata, Mammalia, Artiodactyla, Bovidae.
UCCCUGGUGGCUCAGAUGGUAAAGAAUCUGCCCGCAAAGCAGGAGACCCAGGUUCAAUCCCUGGCUUGGGAA